Molecule: non-coding RNA, 759 nt
Organism: Manis javanica (Malayan pangolin)
Lineage: Eukaryota; Metazoa; Chordata; Mammalia; Pholidota; Manidae
Source: RefSeq, a predicted model, not a curated record
AUUGAGGCUUAUGGCUGCUAUGGUCCUCUUCUCAUCUGUGUGGAAAGUGCUGUCUGCAAUUAAAGCCUGGGAAUAUGGAGCUAAGGAAACAAUCAGAGAUGAGGCAGGAGAGGUGUUCACACCAGCUAAUUGAGUGCUUGUCUGAACUGGAUUUUUUUCUGUAUUUACAGUGGAGGAACUCUAGUUCACCUGGAGAGGCCAGAGAACUUGCAUCUAAGAGGCCCCUCUCUAGAAACUGUUGCCAAAUGUGCUCAUCUUCCAGCCCUGAGAUGCUUCAAAUGCUGUAGAGAUGCCAGGGAGGAAAACAUACAAGACCAUUGGAUAAACGAGCACACAACUGACUCGCCACACCGACUCUGAUCAUCUUCAUCAGCAGAAGCAACAGGUUUUUCUGGAUUUUUACCCCAAAUUCACUGACCUCAUGUUUUAUUUUUGUUGACUUAUUCUGACACCUUCCUACCCUCUGGUAUAAUAUAUUACUCCCUCUGAGGAAUACAGCCACCGGACACCCACCUCACAGGUUAUUGUGAGGAGUAAUUGAGAUAAUGUGUGUAAGCAUUGAAAUACUUAUACAAAUUAGCUGUAAUUAUGUAAACAACAGUCAUGUGUGGUAGGAGCUAAGCUAGCAGCAGGAAUACAAAGUACACUAGAAGUGCUCAAUAAACUGACAGAUAUUCAACAGUGAGUGGUCACAGCUACUAUGUGUCUGUGUGUCCAGUGCCCCAUGUGCUGCCUUUAUUUAUGUAUUCAUCAAACAUC